Molecule: transfer RNA, 71 nt
Filed under: Gordonia bronchialis DSM 43247
Lineage: Bacteria; Bacillati; Actinomycetota; Actinomycetes; Mycobacteriales; Gordoniaceae
Rfam family: tRNA
About the family: Transfer RNA (tRNA) molecules are approximately 80 nucleotides in length. Their secondary structure includes four short double-helical elements and three loops (D, anti-codon, and T loops).
Source: Rfam by way of RNAcentral
GACGCACUAGCUCAAUGGCAGAGCAGUCAACUGAUAAUUGGCAGGUUGCCGGUUCGACUCCGGCGUGGUCU